Molecule: ribosomal RNA, 200 nt
Filed under: uncultured bacterium
Lineage: Bacteria
Description: partial 16S ribosomal RNA
Rfam family: Bacterial small subunit ribosomal RNA
Source: RNAcentral
CAGGCUGCAACUCGCCUGCAUGAAGUCGGAAUUGCUAGUAAUCGUAGGUCAGCAUACUACGGUGAAUACGUUCCCGGGCCUUGUACACACCGCCCGUCAAACCAUGAGAGUUGGCAACACCCGAAGUCGGUAGUCUAACCGCAAGGAGGACGCCGCCGAAGGUGGGGUUGAUGAUUAGGGUUAAGUCGUAACAAGGUAAC